UGAGCGCUAGCCAAACCUGUCGCGAGGCAGGGCCGGAAAGCCACGGGUCUUGUAGGCAAGAUAGCCGGGUUGCUGUGU
Molecule: non-coding RNA, 78 nt
Filed under: Methylomonas sp.
Lineage: Bacteria; Pseudomonadati; Pseudomonadota; Gammaproteobacteria; Methylococcales; Methylococcaceae
Description: c-di-GMP sequence
Rfam family: c-di-GMP-I riboswitch aptamer (bases 9-77)
About the family: GEMM was predicted in a large-scale screen for bacterial structured RNA regulatory elements. Genes associated with GEMM are involved in a diverse array of functions, including chemotaxis regulation, signal transduction, secretion and chitin.
Source: RNAcentral